This 443-nucleotide long non-coding RNA is filed under the name Gallus gallus (chicken). RNAcentral's name for it is "long non-coding RNA NONGGAT004941". Lineage: Eukaryota; Metazoa; Chordata; Aves; Galliformes; Phasianidae. The record is from RNAcentral.
AAGGAAUGCAGCCCAUGGAACAUGUUCCCCAAGAGGAAAGGGAAAAAGUGGGGCAGCAGAGAUGGAGGGACCUGGGGCUGUUGUAUGAGAGGAUCAGCAAGCUGAAGGAUCGUCUGGAAAGGAAGGAGGAAAGGCUGCGAGAGUAUGAGACCAGCAUUGAGCAGCUCAGGCUGAACCAAGAGUCCCUGCAAACGUGCCAGGAAGAGAUGCUGAGACUGGAAGAUGAAGUCUACAGGGAAGCAGAAGAGAAAGCUCUGCUGAGAGAGGCUCUGGAGAGGACGAGGGCAGAGCUGGGCCAGGAGAAGAGGCUGAACCGGGCAGCACGGCAGCGCAAGAGCCUUGCAGAGAAUGGGGAGAAGAGAAAGGAGAAGGAGCUGCCCAACCGUGCCUGCUCUUCCAAAGAACGAGGAGGGAAGGUAUGGCAUGCUGGUACACACUGAAAG